AAAUUGAAGAGUUUGAUCAUGGCUCAGAUUGAACGCUGGCGGCAGGCCUAACACAUGCAAGUCGAACGGUAACAGGAAGCAGCUUGCUGCUUUGCUGACGAGUGGCGGACGGGUGAGUAAUGUCUGGGAAACUGCCUGAUGGAGGGGGAUAACUACUGGAAACGGUGGCUAAUACCGCAUAACGUCGCAAGACCAAAG
This 198-nucleotide ribosomal RNA is filed under the name Salmonella enterica subsp. enterica serovar Infantis. RNAcentral describes it as "partial 16S ribosomal RNA". It matches the Rfam family "Bacterial small subunit ribosomal RNA", at positions 1 to 206 of the family's 1533-position model. Lineage: Bacteria; Pseudomonadati; Pseudomonadota; Gammaproteobacteria; Enterobacterales; Enterobacteriaceae. The record is from RNAcentral. RNAcentral also lists the same sequence under 19 other names.